UCGGAUUGUAGUCUGCAACCCGACUACAUGAAGCCGGAAUCGCUAGUAAUCGCGGAUCAGAAUGCCGCGGUGAAUACGUUCCCGGGUCUUGUACACACCGCCCGUCACACCAUGGGAGUCAGUAACGCCCGAAGUCAGUGACCCAACCAAUCAGGGAGGGAGCUGCCGAAGGUGGGACCGAUAACUGGGGUGAAGUCGUAACAAGGUACC
This 210-nucleotide ribosomal RNA is filed under the name uncultured bacterium. RNAcentral describes it as "partial 16S ribosomal RNA". It matches the Rfam family "Bacterial small subunit ribosomal RNA", at positions 1293 to 1500 of the family's 1533-position model. The record is from RNAcentral.